AUUGAACGCUGGCGGCAUGCCUUACACAUGCAAGUCGAACGGCAGCACGGGAGCAAUCCUGGUGGCGAGUGGCGAACGGGUGAGUAAUAUAUCGGAACGUGCCCGGUCGUGGGGGAUAACGUAGCGAAAGCUACGCUAAUACCGCAUACGAUCUACGGAUGAAAGCGGGGGAUCGCAAGACCUCGCGCGAUUGGAGCGGCCGAUAUCAGAUUAGGUAGUUGGUGAGGUAAAGGCUCACCAAGCCGACGAUCUGUAGCUGGUCUGAGAGGACGACCAGCCACACUGGGACUGAGACACGGCCCAGACUCCUACGGGAGGCAGCAGUGGGGAAUAUUGGACAAUGGGCGAAAGCCUGAUCCAGCCAUGCCGCGUGUGUGAAGAAAGGGUCUUCGGAUUGUAAAGCACUUUAAGUUGGGAGGAAGGGUAGUAACCUAAUACGUU
This 441-nucleotide ribosomal RNA is filed under the name uncultured bacterium. RNAcentral's name for it is "bacterial SSU rRNA". It matches the Rfam family "Bacterial small subunit ribosomal RNA", at positions 30 to 470 of the family's 1533-position model. The record is from RNAcentral.